AGUGAACGCUGGCGGUAGGCCUAACACAUGCAAGUCGAACGGCAGCACAGUAAGAGCUUGCUCUUACGGGUGGCGAGUGGCGGACGGGUGAGGAAUACAUCGGAAUCUACUUUUUCGUGGGGGAUAACGUAGGGAAACUUACGCUAAUACCGCAUACGACCUACGGGUGAAAGCAGGGGAUCUUCGGACCUUGCGCGAUUGAAUGAGCCGAUGUCGGAUUAGCUAGUUGGCGGGGUAAAGGCCCACCAAGGCGACGAUCCGUAGCUGGUCUGAGAGGAUGAUCGGCCACACUGGAACUGAGACACGGUCCAGACUCCUACGGGAGGCAGCAGUGGGGAAUAUUGGACAAUGGGCGAAAGCCUGAUCCAGCCAUACCGCGUGGGUGAAGAAGGCCUUCGGGUUGUAAAGCCCUUUUGUUGGGAAAGAAAAGCAGCAGGUUAAUACCCCGCUGUUCUGACGGUACCCAAAGAAUAAGCACCGGCUAACUUCGUG
RNAcentral lists this ribosomal RNA (492 nucleotides) under uncultured bacterium. Its description in RNAcentral is "partial 16S ribosomal RNA". It matches the Rfam family "Bacterial small subunit ribosomal RNA", at positions 29 to 507 of the family's 1533-position model. The record is from RNAcentral.